UNUACAAUGGCAGGGUCUCGUUAUGCCUCC
Molecule: non-coding RNA, 30 nt
Filed under: Mus musculus (house mouse)
Lineage: Eukaryota; Metazoa; Chordata; Mammalia; Rodentia; Muridae
Source: RNAcentral